This 541-nucleotide ribosomal RNA is filed under the name uncultured bacterium. Its description in RNAcentral is "bacterial SSU rRNA". It matches the Rfam family "Bacterial small subunit ribosomal RNA", at positions 311 to 852 of the family's 1533-position model. The record is from RNAcentral.
CACUGGGACUGAGACACGGCCCAGACUCCUACGGGAGGCAGCAGUGGGGAAUUUUCCGCAAUGGGCGAAAGCCUGACGGAGCAAGACCGCGUGGGGGGGAAGAAGGCUCUUGGGUUGUAAACCCCCUUUUCUCUGGGAAGAAAGUUGUGAAAGCAACCUGAUGGUACCAGAGGAAUCAGCAUCGGCUAACUCCGUGCCAGCAGCCACGGUAAGACGGAGGAUGCAAGCGUUAUCCGGAAUGAUUGGGCGUAAAGCGUCCGCAGGCGGUUUGAUAAGUCUGAAGUUAAAGGCUGUGGCUCAACCAUAGUUCGCUUUGGAAACUGUCAAACUUGAGUGCAGAAGGGGAGAGUGGAAUUCCAUGUGUAGCGGUGAAAUGCGUAGAUAUAUGGAGGAACACCGGUGGCGAAAGCGGCUCUCUGGUCUGUAACUGACGCUGAGGCUCGAAAGCGUGGGGAGCGAACAGGAUUAGAUACCCGUGGUAGUCCACGCCGUAAACGAUGAGUGCUAGGUGUUGGACUCCUUCGGGAUUCAGUGCCGNACG